AGGAUUAACGCUGGCGGCGUGCCUAACACAUGCAAGUCGAGCGCCCCGCAAGGGGAGCGGCAGACGGGUGAGUAACGCGUGGGAACAUACCCUCCGGUUCGGAAUAGCUCAGGGAAACUUGGAUUAAUACCGGAUACGGCCUAGCGGCGAAAGAUUCAUCGCCGGAGGAUUGGCCCGCGUUCGAUUAGCUAGUUGGUGAGGUAACGGCUCACCAAGGCGACGAUCGAUAGCUGGUCUGAGAGGAUGAUCAGCCACAUUGGGACUGAGACACGGCCCAAACUCCUACGGGAGGCAGCAGUGGGGAAUAUUGGACAAUGGGCGCAAGCCUGAUCCAGCCAUGCCGCGUGAGUGAUGACGGCCCUAGGGUUGUAAAGCUCUUUCGCUAGGGACGAUAAUGACGGUACCUAGACAAGAAGCCCCGGCUAACUUCGUGCCAGCAGCCGC
RNAcentral lists this ribosomal RNA (444 nucleotides) under uncultured bacterium. RNAcentral describes it as "SSU rRNA". It matches the Rfam family "Bacterial small subunit ribosomal RNA", at positions 26 to 518 of the family's 1533-position model. The record is from RNAcentral.